CAGUAGCCGCGGUAAUACGAAGGGGGCUAGCGUUGUUCGGAAUUACUGGGCGUAAAGCGCACGUAGGCGGAUAUUUAAGUCAGGGGUGAAAUCCCAGAGCUCAACUCUGGAACUGCCUUUGAUACUGGGUAUCUUGAGUAUGGAAGAGGUGAGUGGAAUUCCGAGUGUAGAGGUGAAAUUCGUAGAUAUUCGCAGGAACACCAGUGGCGAAGGCGGCUAACUGGUCCAUAACUGACGCUGAGGUGCGAAAGCGUGGGGAGCAAACAGGAUUAGAUACCCCGUAGUCCCUGUCUCUUAUACA
Molecule: ribosomal RNA, 301 nt
Filed under: uncultured bacterium
Lineage: Bacteria
Description: partial 16S ribosomal RNA
Rfam family: Bacterial small subunit ribosomal RNA
Source: RNAcentral